RNAcentral lists this ribosomal RNA (460 nucleotides) under uncultured bacterium. Its description in RNAcentral is "partial 16S ribosomal RNA". It matches the Rfam family "Bacterial small subunit ribosomal RNA", at positions 338 to 795 of the family's 1533-position model. The record is from RNAcentral.
CCUACGGGAGGCAGCAGUGAGGAAUAUUGGUCAAUGGGCGGAAGCCUGAACCAGCCAAGUAGCGUGCAGGAUGACGGCCCUACGGGUUGUAAACUGCUUUUAUACGGGAAUAACGCGCCUUACGUGUAGGGCUUUGCAUGUACCGUAUGAAUAAGGACCGGCUAAUUCCGUGCCAGCAGCCGCGGUAAUACGGAAGGUCCGGGCGUUAUCCGGAUUUAUUGGGUUUAAGGGGAGCGUAGGCCGCAUGUCAAGCGUGCUGUGAAAUGUCCGGGCUCAACCCGGGCCUUGCAGCGCGAACUGGCGUACUUGAGUCCGCGGAAAGCAGGCGGAAUUCGUCGUGUAGCGGUGAAAUGCUUAGAUAUGACGAAGAACCCCGAUUGCGAAGGCAGCUUGCUGCAGCGGAACUGACGCUGAUGCUCGAAAGCGCGGGUAUCGAACAGGAUUAGAUACCCCUGUAGUC